Non-coding RNA from Podarcis lilfordi (Lilford's wall lizard), 83 nucleotides. NCBI's taxonomy places the organism in Eukaryota, Metazoa, Chordata, Lepidosauria, Squamata, Lacertidae. The record is from the annotation of a GenBank genome assembly.
CCUAGGCCUGUAGCUCAAUGACAGAGCAUCUCCUUUACAUGCAGAAGGUCCCAGGUUCAAUCCCCGGCCUCUCCAGCUCAGGA